UACGGGGGGGGUAAGCGUUGUUCGGAAUUACUGGGCGUAAAGGGCUCGUAGGCGGCCAACUAAGUCGGACGUGAAAUCCCUCAGCUUAACUGGGGAACUGCGUCCGAUACUGGAUGGCUUGGAUUUGGGAGAGGGAUGCGGAAUUCCAGGUGUAGCGGUGAAAUGCGUAGAUAUCUGGAGGAACACCAGUAGCGAAGGCGGCACUCUGGGCCGGUACUGACGCUGAGGAGCGAAAGCGUGGGGAGCGAACAGG
RNAcentral lists this ribosomal RNA (253 nucleotides) under uncultured bacterium. Its description in RNAcentral is "partial 16S ribosomal RNA". It matches the Rfam family "Bacterial small subunit ribosomal RNA", at positions 524 to 776 of the family's 1533-position model. The record is from RNAcentral.